AGUGAACGCUGGCGGUAGGCCUAACACAUGCAAGUCGAACGGCAGCACAGUAAGAGCUUGCUCUUACGGGUGGCGAGUGGCGGACGGGUGAGGAAUACAUCGGAAUCUACUUUUUCGUGGGGGAUAACGUAGGGAAACUUACGCUAAUACCGCAUACGACCUACGGGUGAAAGCAGGGGAUCUUCGGACCUUGCGCGAUUGAAUGAGCCGAUGUCGGAUUAGCUAGUUGGCGGGGUAAGGGCCCACCAAGGCGACGAUCCGUAGCUGGCCUGAGAGGAUGAUCAGCCACACUGGAACUGAGACACGGUCCAGACUCCUACGGGAGGCGGCAGUGGGGAAUCUUGGACAAUGGUCGCAAGCCUGAUCCAGCCAUACCGCGUGGGUGAAGAAGGCCUUCGGGUUGUAAAGCCCUUUUGUUGGGAAAGAAAAGCAGCAUGUUAAUACCCCGAUGUUCUGACGGUACCCAAAGAAUAAGCACCGGCUAACUUCGUG
This 492-nucleotide ribosomal RNA is filed under the name uncultured bacterium. RNAcentral describes it as "partial 16S ribosomal RNA". It matches the Rfam family "Bacterial small subunit ribosomal RNA", at positions 29 to 507 of the family's 1533-position model. The record is from RNAcentral.